CAGUAGCCGCGGGAACACAGAGGGUGCGAGCGUUAAUCGGAUUUACUGGGCGUAAAGCGUGCGUAGGCGGCUAAUUGAGUCGGAUGUGAAAUCCCCGAGCUUAACUUGGGAAUUGCAUUCGAUACUGGUUAGCUAGAGUGUGGGAGAGGAUGGUAGAAUUCCAGGUGUAGCGGUGAAAUGCGUAGAGAUCUGGAGGAAUACCGAUGGCGAAGGCAGCCAUCUGGCCUAAUACUGACGCUGAGGUACGAAAGCAUGGGGAGCAAACAGGAUUAGAUACCCGUGUAGUCCCUGUCUCUUAUAC
RNAcentral lists this ribosomal RNA (301 nucleotides) under uncultured bacterium. Its description in RNAcentral is "partial 16S ribosomal RNA". It matches the Rfam family "Bacterial small subunit ribosomal RNA", at positions 509 to 807 of the family's 1533-position model. The record is from RNAcentral.